Molecule: ribosomal RNA, 492 nt
Filed under: uncultured bacterium
Lineage: Bacteria
Description: partial 16S ribosomal RNA
Rfam family: Bacterial small subunit ribosomal RNA
Source: RNAcentral
AGUGAACGCUGGCGGUAGGCCUAACACAUGCAAGUCGAACGGCAGCACAGUAAGAGCUUGCUCUUACGGGUGGCGAGUGGCGGACGGGUGAGGAAUACAGCGGAAUCUACUUUUUCGUGGGGGAUAACGUAGGGAAACUUACGCUAAAACCGCAUACGACCUACGGGUGAAAGCAGGGGAUCUUCGGACCUUGCGCGAGUGAAUGAGCCGAUGUCGGAUUAGCUAGUUGGCGGGGUAAAGGCCCACCAAGGCGACGAUCCGUAGCUGGUCUGAGAGGAUGAUCAGCCACACUGGAACUGAGACACGGUCCAGACUCCUACGGGAGGCAGCAGUGGGGAAUAUUGGACAAUGGGCGCAAGCCUGAUCCAGCCAUACCGCGUGGGUGAAGAAGGCCUUCGGGUUGUAAAGCCCUUUUGUUGGGAAAGAAAAGCAGCAGGUUAAUACCCCGCUGUUCUGACGUUACCCAAAGAAUAAGCACCGGCUAACUUCGUG